Poecilia latipinna (sailfin molly) is the source of this 1359-nucleotide long non-coding RNA. RefSeq lists it as uncharacterized. The transcript is spliced from 5 exons. The record is from RefSeq and is a predicted model, not a curated record. NCBI's taxonomy places the organism in Eukaryota, Metazoa, Chordata, Actinopteri, Cyprinodontiformes, Poeciliidae.
UUCUUGACAGUAGGGCAGGGAGGAAUACUAACAUAUUUGGUGCUUUGUUACACGCUUGUUGCACAGGGCUGCUUGCAGUAUUUUCCUCUCGCUGUCUCGGCCCCUCCCGUCCUGCCACACUUUCAGAAACGCCCCUGAUUACGUCCGGUUUUCCCCCGAAUUCACCUGAUUGGUCCGCUAUUCAAGCUAGUUUGUAAUGAUGGCAGUUUCCCGUGUGAUACUAAAAACCGACGCCACCUUUCCGCCAGUAUUGCCGUGCACUGCAGGAACUAUUACAAUAAAACUGGAGGUUUUGUAAUCCCUCGCCUGUUCCUAAUCGUAUCACUGUCAUGCUGAGUAGCUACAAUCACUUUGGACUGAUUAAAACAAAAGUAAAAAAUACGUCUACUUUUGUGCGCCAGCUUCUCCGACGUGGCAAGCCGAAAGUCCUGGAAGCGUGUGACGUCACCGAGUUAAAAGUUACUAUGCAGAAAAGAAGAAAUGGAUUCCUGCUUCAGGCAAGACUAUCACGUGACCUUGCAUCUUCUGGCCAGCAUCAUCAAGGCAGAUGCCUUGGUUGGAGCUGGCUGCACAUGUCUGGCCAUCAAGCUGCUAUUUCUGCCCGUGCCAGUCGCUCCAGGAUUGCAGCUAUGAGAAGAGAGCUUUGAAGAGCUGUCCAGAAAUGGAUGAUCAUGAAGUGUCUCUGGUGUUUGUGGAAAGCCUAUUUUCUGAAACUCUGAUGUCCUUCACAGCAACUCGCGAAGAGCUUUGUUUGAGAAUUAUUUUGCUGGCAGAGGCCCUAUGCAUUGCUUGAGGAACAAAAACAAGCAGAACAAAUCAAGUGUUACGCGCAAACAGGCAUUAAACAAUUUACAUGCACAACACCAUUAAAAAAACAAACAAAAAAAAAACAACUAGAAUCAAACGCAGACAAAGAUCUUCUUACAUACAUUUUAAAUUAACCCCUGGAAUCAUUUGCAGCCUGCAUGUUCACAAAGAUGCAAAUUGCUUCUCCAAGAGAAACACUGUGGGUAAUAAAUCAUUUCCCGCUCACGUAAUCUCAGAGAUGACAAACUACAUAUAUCUCAGAAUGCUUUUGUUCAUGAAAGUAUGCAUGAGUCUGGUGACAUAAGUUGUUUUUUUGUUUUUUUCAUUUCUGUUGAGAUGGUGUGUGUGUAUAAAUACGUCUGCAAGCCAAAUAAAAGGAGUGUGUGAACUGUGACAUCAAGUCCUGGAGACACAAUUUUAAGCCACAGCCCCAAGAUUGCCUCUUCACUUAUUAAGUUAAAGCCAGAUACUCCGGUGCACCUGGUGAGCCAAUGUGAAUGGAUGAUAUGAUGAUUCAUAUGCAACAAUGCAUUUCCAUUAAAGACAAGUAUU